Molecule: long non-coding RNA, 756 nt
Organism: Cydia splendana
Lineage: Eukaryota; Metazoa; Arthropoda; Insecta; Lepidoptera; Tortricidae
Exons: 3
Source: RefSeq, a predicted model, not a curated record
AUUAUCGGCACCACGAUAUCGAUUUUAAAAACAUCCACUGAGACACACCUUAAGUUAAGGCAUACAUUGAUUAUAGAAGAGUUUGUAAACUUACAGAAAAUACUAAUUGGAGUAAUUGGUGCUUCGGAUUUGUUAGAUGGCGCUGUUGAGAUUAAGAUACGUUUGACAAUCCGCUUCAAAAACCAUGGUUCCGAUGGACAUACAUCUUACCUACUUCAGUGGCCAAACUCGGGCACUUCUUUCUUAGACUUUAAAAUAAUUAUACAACAAAUUUUUCUUCAGUUAUAAUUAAAGUUCUGCUUUCAGUCCCAGUGAUCCCAGUUAUCGUCAGCCCAGGAAGAACAAAGAAUCUAAAAAACCGUCUAGACGAGCUAUGCCUGUAGUGGAUGAAAAAACUAUGCUUGCUGAAAUUAUGAGAGUUAUUAACAAAUUCGCUCUGACUACCCAAGAUGAAGCAGAAGUAAACAUAGACGAUGCUGAUAGGGGGCUCCCUUCAAUAAAGCUAUACUUCAAAGGCGCCCACACUUCACUAGUAGUCCGUGCGGAACGGAGACAGUGGCACUACAUCAUCGGCCCUCCCUCUCUCUUCCCCGAAUGGUUUUACGAAGAUCACGAAGUUCAACAAGACUCAAUCGGACCGUACGUCGAUGUUCCUAAAGAUGUGAGCGGCGAGUUUUAUAACGCUCUCUUUCAUUUGUUGACCAUGUUUAUUAGUUUUCCAGUUUAAGCAAACAAGUUUCGAAAGACAAGUUAAUA